UACGUAGGGUGCGAGCGUUAAUCGGAAUUACUGGGCGUAAAGCGUGCGCAGGCGGUUGGAUAAGACAGGUGUGAAAUUCCCGGGCUCAACCUGGGAACUGCAUUUGUGACUGUUCGACUAGAGUGCGGCAGAGGGGAGUGGAAUUCCGCGUGUAGCAGUGAAAUGCGUAGAUAUGCGGAGGAACACCGAUGGCGAAGGCAACUCCCGGGGCCUGCACUGACGCUCAUGCACGAAAGCGUGGGGAGCAAACAGG
Molecule: ribosomal RNA, 253 nt
Filed under: uncultured bacterium
Lineage: Bacteria
Description: partial 16S ribosomal RNA
Rfam family: Bacterial small subunit ribosomal RNA
Source: RNAcentral